This 705-nucleotide long non-coding RNA is filed under the name Olea europaea subsp. europaea. Lineage: Eukaryota; Viridiplantae; Streptophyta; Magnoliopsida; Lamiales; Oleaceae. The record is from RNAcentral.
AUUUUAUAGCAGUGAUUUUUUUGGAGAAGAAUGGUUAAAAAUAGGAAAAAAGUUUGAAUUUAAAUGUAAAAUUAUUUUAUUAAGAAAAUGUAUGCUUGGAAAUAAAUUUAGAGAAAAACAAGUUUUUAAAAAUAAGAAUCAAACAGAAAAAAGAGAAAAGACUGCUUUUAUUAUUGCUGCAAUCUGUGAUUGGAAAACUCAUGCUAGGGAUUACAAUGGCCUCUUUAUCUGCCUUACCAGCUUAUACGAACUAGCACUAUGAGUGCCUAUGCUAGCAGCUGAUCUCAGAUCCAUCCUCGUCCAAUGUUGCUAUGUUGUGAUGUUAACUCAUGCAACAAGUUACAGAACAAUACACGUCUUAGAAGACGUUGAGAUCUUGUAAAGAAGUUUCAUUCGGAGCUCUUUGAAUAUUUGAUGUCAACGUGGUCAGAAUUUCAACAUCGACCGGUAAUAACUGUGUACCAUUUAGAAUGUAGCACAACCAAGAAACAUGAGAUGAAAAGAGAGAGAGAAUCCCGAAAACCAUAGGAAUGGGUGGAGUUGGUAAGUAAUUCAAGAUCAUCACUCUCAUCCUCCGCGAGGCCCGGGAGGGGGGUCGAGGAGAAGAUAUGAAUGGCUUUCCAAUCCACCAAUCCCUAUAGAUUUCAGAUUAUCAGCUCCCAUUUCAGAUCAGUUGGCAAUCUGUCAACAAAAUUUAUCUGCCUA